RNAcentral lists this ribosomal RNA (479 nucleotides) under uncultured Methanosaeta sp. Its description in RNAcentral is "bacterial SSU rRNA". It matches the Rfam family "Archaeal small subunit ribosomal RNA", at positions 856 to 1338 of the family's 1478-position model. The record is from RNAcentral. Lineage: Archaea; Methanobacteriati; Methanobacteriota; Methanomicrobia; Methanotrichales; Methanotrichaceae.
UCAAAUGAAUUGACGGGGAGCACCACAACGGUGGAGCUUGCGGUUUAAUUGGAUUCAACGCCGGAAAUCUUACCGGACCGACAGCAAUAUGAAGGCCAGGCUGAAGACUUUGCCGGAUUAGCUGAGAGGUGGUGCAUGGCCGUCGUCAGUUCGUACUGUGAAGCAUCCUGUUAAGUCAGGCAACGAGCGAGACCCACGCCCACAGUUGCCAGCGUACUCUCUGGAGUGACGGGUACACUGUGGGACCGCCGCUGCUAAAGCGGAGGAAGGAAUGGGCAACGGUAGGUCAGUAUGCCCCGAAUAUCCCGGGCUACACGCGAGCUACAAUGGUUGGUACAAUGGGUAUCUACCCCGAAAGGGGACGGGAAUCUCCUAAAACCAAUCUUAGUUCGGAUUGAGGGCUGCAACUCGCCCUCAUGAAGCUGGAAUCCGUAGUAAUCGCGUUUCAACAGAACGCGGUGAAUACGUCCCUGCUCCUU